RNAcentral lists this ribosomal RNA (253 nucleotides) under uncultured bacterium. RNAcentral describes it as "partial 16S ribosomal RNA". It matches the Rfam family "Bacterial small subunit ribosomal RNA", at positions 524 to 776 of the family's 1533-position model. The record is from RNAcentral.
UACAGAGGUCUCAAGCGUUGUUCGGAUUCAUUGGGCGUAAAGAGCGCGCAGGCGGCUUGGUAAGUCGGAUGUGAAAUCCCGAGGCUCAACCUCGGGUCUGCAUCCGAUACUGCCCGGCUAGAGGUAGGUAGGGGAGAUCGGAAUUCCUGGUGUAGCGGUGAAAUGCGCAGAUAUCAGGAGGAACACCGGUGGCGAAGGCGGAUCUCUGGGCCUUACCUGACGCUGAGGCGCGAAAGCUAGGGGAGCGAACAGG